RNAcentral lists this ribosomal RNA (496 nucleotides) under uncultured bacterium. Its description in RNAcentral is "partial 16S ribosomal RNA". It matches the Rfam family "Bacterial small subunit ribosomal RNA", at positions 28 to 506 of the family's 1533-position model. The record is from RNAcentral.
GAUGAACGCUGGCGGCGUGCCUAAUACGUGCAAGUCGAGCGAACGGACGAGAAGCUUGCUUUUCUGAUGUUAGCGGCGGACGGGUGAGUAACACGUGGAUAACCUACCUAUAAGACUGGGAUAACUUCGGGAAACCGGAGCUAAUACCGGAUAAUAUUUUGAACCGCAUGGUUCAAAAGUGAAAGACGGUCUUGCUGUCACUUAUAGAUGGAUCCGCGCUGCAUUAGCUAGUUGGUAAGGUAACGGCUUACCAAGGCAACGAUGCAUAGCCGACCUGAGAGGGUGAUCGGCCACACUGGAACUGAGACACGGUCCAGACUCCUACGGGAGGCAGCAGUAGGGAAUCUUCCGCAAUGGGCGAAAGCCUGACGGAGCAACGCCGCGUGAGUGAUGAAGGUCUUCGGAUCGUAAAACUCUGUUAUUAGGGAAGAACAUAUGUGUAAGUAACUGUGCACAUCUUGACGGUACCUAAUCAGAAAGCCACGGCUAACUACGU